Arachis ipaensis is the source of this 440-nucleotide non-coding RNA. Lineage: Eukaryota; Viridiplantae; Streptophyta; Magnoliopsida; Fabales; Fabaceae. The record is from RefSeq and is a predicted model, not a curated record.
CUAUAAAGCAAUUAAAUAAAUCAAUGCAGAGUAAUUAAAUAAAUCAAUGCAGAUCAAUUAAAUAAGUGCCGUAUCUGAAAUAAUGAACAAGCCAUAAACUAAAGGUACAGUUCUGAUCAAGCCCAGAAAAAUAUAAGUUAAUAACAAGAAAUUAGCCUUAUUAACCAAAGAUGGAAGUUCAGAAGAAAUAGAAUAAAAGUCUGCAUAUAUAUCAGCAGGUAGGAAUAUUCACAAAGAUCACAAUAAAAGUCUGCAUAUAUAUCAAAGCUGCAAUUGAACUGAGAGAUACCACUUCAAAGUGAUUUCAAAUUCAGAAGCAAUAAUAUUCAUAAAAGAGAAAAGUACACUCAUGCCACUUAAAACAAAUUGCUGUCAAUCAGAAAUUCAAUAUUCUUCCUUUAAUCUUCUUUUGAAUGAUUUUCAAUGGUUAUAGCCUCCUC